Molecule: ribosomal RNA, 344 nt
Filed under: uncultured eukaryote
Lineage: Eukaryota
Description: SSU rRNA
Rfam family: Eukaryotic small subunit ribosomal RNA
Source: RNAcentral
CCAGCAGCCGCGGUAAUUCCAGCUCCAAAAGCGUAUAUUAAAGUUGUUGCAGUUAAAAAGCUCGUAGUUGGAUUUCUGGGGUCGGGACAUGGUCGCGCCGCAAGGCGUGCACUAUUUUUCGGCCCCUUUUGCUCGAAGGCCUGCGGUUCUCUUCAUUGGGUGCCGUAUGGAAUUCGGGACCUUUACUUUGAAAAAAUUAGAGUGUUCAAAGCAGGCUUACGCUUGAAUAUUACAGCAUGGAAUAAUGAAACAGGACUUUGGUUCUAUUUUGUUGGUUUCUAGGACUGAAGUAAUGAUUAAUAGGGGCGGUUGGGGGCAUUAGUAUUUAAUUGUCAGAGGUGAAA